GGUCCCAGAAGGAGGUAGACACCAAGAGCAACAGAUGAGAAAAAUGAUGGGGAGCCUAAAGAGCAAGCGGGGAGGGAAGGGAAGCCGCAGCCCUUGGUGCCUGGCCGAGGAUGCUGCACGGCUGCUUAUGACCCCUGAACUAAGUCAGCAGGAGGUCAGUGGAUCACCUUUGGGAUGGUGCAGCUCUGUUUGGGACCCUGGGGGAGCCUCACCGAGGUGCACCACUGUCCUCCCAGCUGAGCAGCACCCCAGCCCGUGCCUGGAAAAUAGAAUUCUGUCCUGAGAAAAACCUUCUCUCUGAGAAUCAAGCUCUUUCUCCUUGUGGACCCCCCAGUGCUUGUCCAAGGGCCCAGGGCCCAGGUGAGGGAUGUUUUGAAACCUGUGGGACCAUCACCACCUAGCUGCUGCAUGGAUGGAUGCUCCUGUGCCGUGGCACUGCUAA
This is a long non-coding RNA of Oxyura jamaicensis (ruddy duck), 442 nucleotides long. RefSeq lists it as uncharacterized. The record is from RefSeq and is a predicted model, not a curated record. The transcript has 3 exons. Lineage: Eukaryota; Metazoa; Chordata; Aves; Anseriformes; Anatidae.